This is a long non-coding RNA of Alosa sapidissima (American shad), 455 nucleotides long. RefSeq lists it as uncharacterized. The record is from RefSeq and is a predicted model, not a curated record. Lineage: Eukaryota; Metazoa; Chordata; Actinopteri; Clupeiformes; Clupeidae. The transcript is spliced from 2 exons.
CACACACACACACACACACACACACACACACACACACACACACACACACACACACACCCAAACACAUUGCGCCUGUUGAUAGAUUCUAGAUAGUGCCUUCAGCUGCUUUGUUGGUGUAGAAAAGAAAACAGAUGCAUUCACCUUAAGUAAGAAGUAUAUGACAAACAUUCAUGAGCACCACAUGCGCAUACUGGUUACUUUCAAAGCAGUAUCAACAAUGCUCAUUUCCAGCCAUCAUAAUUAGAUAACACUUCUGUGUAUUGUGUGUAUUUAGAGAGUAAAUAAUGUGUCAACAUGAACUAAUGUAAUUUGACUAGCACUGGCUUCUAUCGUAACAUCUUGGUGAAUCAUUUGUGAAUGAAAACAAUAAUGUAACACAUAACAUUGUAAAUCAAUAAAGAAUAUUAAUGUUUUAGGAAUAACUAAUUAUCUUUAUAAUAAACUCUUGCCCCCCC